AACACAGACACACCUGCCCGACCAGUCCAAAGGCCCGGUCCAAGCUCCUGGCAUCGGUGUACUUCCUGACUUUGUUGUGGAGCCAGCCGAGCUCGGCCAGUCUGCUGCUGGUGUCUCUCAGGGACUUGCACAGCACCACCUGCAGUUAUCCUGGGCACUCAUCUUGAUGAACUUGCCAUCGAUUCCCUGGAAGACGUAGAGGAUGUCCCGCACCAGCGCCGCCUCGCUCACCUCACCUGCACCCACAGAGGACGAGAGGACAGAGAAUUUGCUGUACAUAAGUACACAGUUUACUUCCCAAAUUCAGUGUAACGCAGGAUGUCACUCACCGUCGCGGCGAGGACGCACCACUCUGGAGGAGGGAACUGGAGGUCCGAGGGGUGGUCGAGUGGCGAGCGGGGCCAGAGCGGAGGAAGGGGAGCAGCUUACAGGAAGAGCCCAGGCCAGCCGAGAGCCC
Epinephelus moara (kelp grouper) is the source of this 457-nucleotide long non-coding RNA. RefSeq lists it as uncharacterized. The record is from RefSeq and is a predicted model, not a curated record. NCBI's taxonomy places the organism in Eukaryota, Metazoa, Chordata, Actinopteri, Perciformes, Serranidae. The transcript is spliced from 3 exons.